Molecule: ribosomal RNA, 614 nt
Filed under: uncultured bacterium
Lineage: Bacteria
Description: bacterial SSU rRNA
Rfam family: Bacterial small subunit ribosomal RNA (bases 1-543)
Source: RNAcentral
CCUACGGGAGGGCAGCAGUGGGGAAUUUUGGACAAUGGGCGCAAGCCUGAUCCAGCCAUGCCGCGUGCGGGAAGAAGGCCUUCGGGUUGUAAACCGCUUUUGUCAGGGAAGAAACGCUUUGGGAUAAUACCCUGAGGUAAUGACGGUACCUGAAGAAUAAGCACCGGCUAACUACGUGCCAGCAGCCGCGGUAAUACGUAGGGUGCAAGCGUUAAUCGGAAUUACUGGGCGUAAAGCGUGCGCAGGCGGUUCUAUAAGACAGAUGUGAAAUCCCCGGGCUCAACCUGGGAACUGCAUUUGUGACUGUAGAGCUUGAGUGCGGCAGAGGGGGAUGGAAUUCCGCGUGUAGCAGUGAAAUGCGUAGAUAUGCGGAGGAACACCGAUGGCGAAGGCAAUCCCCUGGGCCUGCACUGACGCUCAUGCACGAAAGCGUGGGGAGCAAACAGGAUUAGAUACCCUGGUAGUCCACGCCCUAAACGAUGUCAACUGGUUNUUGGGAAGGUUCCUUCUCAGUAACGUAGCUAACGCGUGAAGUUGACCGCCUGGGGAGGACGGCGCGAGUAGAAGUACAAGAGAGUGAGNGNGAGAGAGCGAGACGACGACGAGGGAGGAGG